RNAcentral lists this long non-coding RNA (989 nucleotides) under Gallus gallus (chicken). RNAcentral's name for it is "lncRNA (ENSGALG00010005173.1)". The record is from RNAcentral. Lineage: Eukaryota; Metazoa; Chordata; Aves; Galliformes; Phasianidae.
CUAAUACAGGUCAUAUAUUAGGCUUUUCUUUUUCAGUGGUCAACGUGGUUCAAUUUCCAGCUAGGACAUAAUUUGCACAAUAACCUGAAGUUGAAAUUAAUACUAAGAAACAAGCUGUACUGUGUGUAAGAAAAAUCCAUUAAGCUGUCUGCAUUAGAGGAAGAAGCUGACCAAUGGAGUUGAAGCAAAUGUGUUAUACCGUAAGAAGAAAGGUUCAGACAAAUAUCACAGGAACCAGGAUGACACUCCAAUAAGCCAAAAUAUGAGCACCAGGUCUGCACCCUGAGAGAAGUGCACAUCCUGAAGUUCUUCCUCCAAAGAUCUACUGCCUUGUUGUAGUUGCAAGCCACAACAGAAACAAAGGAUAUAUUAAUCUACUAAGGAAUAAGAAUUUUAAGAAAACAUGGAGAAUCCAGAACUACAUGCAGUUCAUACAAUGAAUGAUGACUAAAGUUUGGCAAUCACAACAGGAAAUGAAUUAUCAAUGAAUUACCAAAUUAAAUGUUAAAGCCUCCAGUAUUCCAUGAGAAGACUCAAGUGUGUAUCUGUGAAUUUGGCAGUACCUUGAGCCUGAUGCUCGUGUUGAGAAUGUUUUCCAAGGAGUCCCAGGAGCCAGAGCUUAGCAAACAGCAAACUGACAGUGAGAGAUGUAUGGAAGCUGCUUUAGAAAGGGGUAUGGCCUUCAUCCUCAGAAAAACAUAUUCACACAUCUUGUAACAGGAUUAGCAGUGAUCUGAACUGAAGGCUGAAGGAGGAAGAGGAGGAGGUAGGAAUUAGUGACAAGCCAAGUAUGCAGAUGACCUUUCUGAAGCUGUUGAUAGAGCUGAUUGAUUGUUUCUUCUACAUAACAUUUUGAUUUGCAGCUUUCAUUUCUCCAGGCACAAUUGAAAGACAUACAUUAAUUUUACUUGAAAUCUCUUUCAGAGGGAUUUUGCUAACAUGCCAAAAGUACAAUCAUGGGUUUAUAUGCUCUGGUAAGUGAGUGCAGG